Molecule: long non-coding RNA, 241 nt
Organism: Drosophila guanche
Lineage: Eukaryota; Metazoa; Arthropoda; Insecta; Diptera; Drosophilidae
Exons: 3
Source: RefSeq, a predicted model, not a curated record
GGCUGAGCCACUGCGGCAGCGCAACCACUAACGAGUCGCGAGGAUUGCGAUUGGGUUUGCAGCGGGAAUUGGAAUUGCAGAAGGCGCAGGCAGAGGGGAGGCAGCGGGGAGGCCAUCCCAGGUCGUUGAGUAAUUGUGCAGCAAUGAGCAUGGUGGCUGCCAGCAGAUUUUCCCGUUGAUAAAGUGCAAACCAACACUCGGAAAACCUUUUUGCCAGCCAGCCGCCGCUCAUAAUAAGAAA